Molecule: ribosomal RNA, 256 nt
Filed under: uncultured Gardnerella sp.
Lineage: Bacteria; Bacillati; Actinomycetota; Actinomycetes; Bifidobacteriales; Bifidobacteriaceae
Description: partial 16S ribosomal RNA
Rfam family: Bacterial small subunit ribosomal RNA
Source: RNAcentral
CGGAACGGGUGAGUAAUGCGUGACCAACCUGCCCCAUGCUCCAGAAUAGCUCUUGGAAACGGGUGGUAAUGCUGGAUGCUCCAACUUGACGCAUGUCUUGUUGGGAAAGUGUUAGUGGCAUGGGAUGGGGUCGCGUCCUAUCAGCUUGUAGGCGGGGUAAUGGCCCACCUAGGCUUCGACGGGUAGCCGGCCUGAGAGGGCGGACGGCCACAUUGGGACUGAGAUACGGCCCAGACUCCUACGGGAGGCAGCAGAA